This 66-nucleotide transfer RNA is filed under the name Diplodactylus galeatus (helmeted gecko). RNAcentral describes it as "tRNA-Cys". Lineage: Eukaryota; Metazoa; Chordata; Lepidosauria; Squamata; Diplodactylidae. The record is from RNAcentral.
CAGUCCGGCAGUGGAGACACAUCAAAUUGCAAAUUUGAAAAGGCACCCCUAAAGGGUGCCCGGACU